AUGGAAGCUUCGCCGCCUCCGCUCCUCCCCCUGCUCCUCCUCCUCCUCCUGGCCGCGGCGGCGGGCCCGAACGCGGCCGCCGCGGCGGGGGACGGCUGCAGCCGGGGCUGCGACCUCGCGCUGGGCUCCUACUACGUCGCGUCCAACCAGAACGUCACCUACAUCGCCAACCUCUUCGGGUUCUCCGACUACCGAGUGCUCGGCAAGUACAACCCCGGGAUCCCCAACCUCGACUUCGUCGCCGCCGGGGACCGCCUCAACGUCCCCUUCCCCUGCCAUUGCCUCGCGCCGCCGUCCGCCCCGGCCUCCACCUUCCUCGCCGCCUCUAUCCGCUACGACGUCCACACCGGGGACACCUACAUCAGCAUCGCCGACCAAUUCAACAACCUCACCACCCCCGCCUGGCUGCAGGCCACAAACACCUACCCGGCCAACAACAUCCCCGACGUCGGCUCCGUCAACGUCACCGUCAACUGCUCAUGCGGCGACGCCGGAAUCUCCACGCAGUACGGCCUCUUCCUCACAUACCCGCUGAGGGACAGAGAGACGCUCGCCUCCGUCGCCGCCAAUCAUAGCUUCUCGUCGCCGGAGCAGAUGGACCUGCUCAGAAAGUAUAACCCCGGGAUGGACGGUGUCACCGGGAGCGGCAUCGUGUAUAUCCCAGCCAAAGAUCCCAAUGGAAGCUACCUUCCUCUGGAAUCAACAGGGAAAAAAAGUUCAGCAGGAGCAAUAGCAGGAGGUGUUGUGGCUGGUGUAGUUGCACUAGUCCUGGCUGUCGUGUUAUUCUUGUUUUAUAGGCGAAGAAAGGCGAAACAGGACGCUUUGCUUCCAUCUUCUGAAGAAUCUACCCGUCUAGCCAGUGCAGUAUCCAUGCAAAAGGUGACACCAUCGAGCAGUCAAGCUGACGGAGCUUCACCAGCUGCCGGCAUUACAGUUGAUAAAUCAGUCGAGUUCUCAUAUGAAGAACUUUUUAAUGCUACAGAAGGCUUUAACAUAAUUCAUAAAAUUGGACAAGGUGGUUUUGGUGCUGUCUAUUAUGCUGAGCUUAGAGGCGAGAAAGCUGCCAUAAAAAAGAUGGACAUGCAGGCUACUCAAGAGUUCCUUGCCGAGUUAAAAGUUUUGACACAUGUUCAUCAUCUUAAUCUGGUGCGCUUGAUUGGUUAUUGCACGGAGAGUUCUUUGUUCCUUGUCUACGAAUUUAUCGAGAAUGGCAACUUAAGCCAGCAUUUGCGUGGAACUGGUUAUGAGCCUCUUUCUUGGGCUGAAAGAGUUCAGAUUGCACUAGAUUCAGCAAGAGGUCUUGAGUACAUUCAUGAGCAUACCGUUCCAGUGUACAUACAUCGGGACAUCAAAUCCGCAAACAUAUUGAUAGACAAGAACACCCGUGCAAAGGUUGCAGAUUUUGGUCUAACAAAACUUACAGAAGUUGGUGGUGGUACAUCUUUGCAAACACGUGUUGUUGGUACAUUCGGUUACAUGCCUCCAGAAUAUGCCCGAUACGGUGAUGUUUCUCCUAAAGUCGAUGUCUAUGCCUUUGGUGUUGUUUUGUACGAACUUAUUUCAGCCAAAGAUGCCAUUGUCCGAUCAACUGAAUCUGCCAGUGAUUCAAAGGGAUUGGUUUAUCUGUUUGAGGAGGCUCUCAAUGCACCGGAUCCGAAGGAAGGCCUCAAGAGGCUGAUCGAUCCAAAGCUAGGAGACGAUUACCCCAUCGACGCCAUUCUCAAGAUGACGCACCUGGCGAACGCAUGCACACAGGAGGACCCCAAGCUGAGGCCGACAAUGAGAUCCGUGGUGGUGGCGCUGAUGACGCUGUCCUCCACGAGCGAGUUCUGGGAUAUGAACGCCCUCUACGAAAACCCGGGCUUGGUGAACCUCAUGUCCGGCAGAUGA
RNAcentral lists this ribosomal RNA (1890 nucleotides) under Triticum aestivum (bread wheat). RNAcentral describes it as "partial small subunit ribosomal RNA". Lineage: Eukaryota; Viridiplantae; Streptophyta; Magnoliopsida; Poales; Poaceae. The record is from RNAcentral.